Long non-coding RNA from Portunus trituberculatus (swimming crab), 1663 nucleotides. RefSeq lists it as uncharacterized. Lineage: Eukaryota; Metazoa; Arthropoda; Malacostraca; Decapoda; Portunidae. The record is from RefSeq and is a predicted model, not a curated record. The transcript is spliced from 5 exons.
GUUUGGAGUGAGCGUGCAAGUCGUACAACAGACACCAGACUGCUACUGCUGACAUUGACGAGAGCGUGGAGUUGUCCUGAUCCUCUCCCUGAAUGUCCACCUCAACAGUGUACGGUCCGCUCAGCAGGAGAAAAUGGUCAUUGAUGUGUUAAGUCCUCAAGCUGGCAUUGUGAUGGGCUCCUUCGGUGUUCUUUGCCUAGCUGUUGGGAGUGUGGCUUCAUUAUAUGUGAGUAAGUGACGUUGAAUUAGCUGGGUGGAGCUGCGAAUUGGGAACCGGGCAAGCACGUGGGACAGUUUCUCGGGGACAGUGCCGAUGCGUGAACUUGUUAUCAUCCAGAAAAGCUUCCCCCAACCCAGUGUACCACAAGAGAACAGGCACUGAGAAGAACGGGAGUGGCUGCACCAUUGAACAGGAGUAUGACUAUACCAGAGCCCAGAAUAAAGUGUUAUUAACCAUGAUGAUUUAGUACUAUUGACACCAAAGAAGUGAGGGAAGUGUUUGGAGUGAGUGUGCAAGACAUACAACAGACACCAGAUUGUUACUGCCGGUGUAGCCAAAGGAACAAGAGGAUGAUGAUUUUUGGAGACGUACCAAUGAAGUUCUGAAGGAUUCAGUACUACUAACACCAGAGAAGUGAGGGAAGUGUUCUGAGUGAGCGUGCAAGACAUGCAAAAGACACCAGACUGCUACUGCCUGUGUAGCCAAAGGAACAAGACCGAUGUUUACCACAAUACUAGUUAGUGAUGUUGGUCUAUGAUUUAGGAACCCGAUCCUUUUUCCUCACUUAUAUUUUGGGACUAUAUUUGCUGUUUUCCACUUCUUUGUCACGUUCCUUUUCAUCAGAGAGCUGUUGAUCAUAUUCCAGAUUGGUUCCACCAGUUGUUCUCUACAUUCCCUCAGUGUCCAUCCUAACACUUUAUCUGGCCCCAUUACCUUCAUGUCCAUCCCUUUUAGCAGUUAACUGAUUUUUUUGCUUAUGGACCAGAAUGUUUCUUAAUCCCUCUUGUGUUGCUUGGUUGUUUUCUUUUAUGAAUUUUCCCUUUUCAUUAAAUACUGAUUUAAAGCUCUUGUUCAUAAGUUCUUUUGUUGUUUUAUGUGUCCUAUUUCCCUUAGUUAACUAAGUGAUGGUCUUUCUGUUUGUCAUUUUUCCAUUCAUAUACUUACAAAAGUUCAUUUUCACAUCUCUUCUCUACAUCCGUUACAAAAUUUCUCUCCUCCCUUCUUAUCCUUAUGUAUUUGUUCCGUGCCUCCUCAUACUGUUUCCUAUUUGCUUCAUUCUGUUGCUUCCUUAAUUUUUUGAAGCUGCAUCCUUACACUUUUUAGCUUUUGUACAUAUACUGUAGCAUUGUACUGCAUGUUUGCUUUCCUUUACUCUGUAUUCGGGAACAUCUCUCUUUAUUCCUUCAUUAUAUUUAUCUAGGAAUAUAUCAUACUUCUCUUGAACUGUCUUGUCUUGCAUAGUUUUCUUCCUCUCAAUACUACCAAAGUAGCUUCUUAACCCUUUAAAAUUUGACUUGGCAUGGUUCCAUGUUUUUUGCUUGUGACCCUCUUUACAUUUUAAAAAUUCCUGAUUCUCUUGAGUCAAUUUCCAGGACCACAUGAUCACUUUUUUUCCCAUUGGGCUGUAAUAUUUGAUGUUUGGACAAGGCUCCAUUUUUUUUU